GAAAAAGUAGCCCUCCUUCAGCCCCCUACCCCUGGGCCUCAGGACCUGGACGAACAUACGCGUGCCUUGGGGGAAUUCUGAUUGUUUCUGUGUGCAAGUGUUACAUACACCAGAAGUAGGAUUAGGGACAGACUCACAGUUAUCCCAGGGCAAUUGCAUGUAAUUACAGCACCACAUCAGGGGCUGGACUAAUGACCUUCCAAAACGCCUUCCAGCCCUCCUUUCCUAUGCUCCUAUCAUCACGGGGCAACAUGGAAGCAGGCAUCAGCCUGGGAUGGAUGCAGACAGAUGGUAGAUGGGAUGUGUCUGCACCAAAGAGCGUUAUAAUCUUGGUGCCAGCCUGUCUGCCAAGAAAGCAUUCUGGACGUGUGCUGCACAGUAGAGCUCAGCCAUAGGUCAGGCAUCUAUACUUAAGGAUACAGGAAUGCUUCAAAUGAAGACUUAUGCCUGUUGAGGGUUAAAUGCAUCCAAAUAUACAGCACCAGCUAAUGGCUUGUUCUGCCCCCUUCUCCCUGAAGCGGCUAUAGCUUAGGGUCCAGCCCUUCUCUCUGUCAGGCCACCUCCGGCAGCUUGCCCUGUUACCGUUUGCUCUGAGAGCUGGCUGCUUACGCUUGCUCUUAGAGCCAGUAGCACUGAUGUAUGAUGUUGAUAUGAAGCCCGUGUAGGGAGACCAGAGGACCCGCAGCAAGGCGUGGACAGGAACGAGACACGGCAUUGGCGAGGUCGGGCCCUGAGUGCCAGGCUUCAGUUCCGGAGGCCAAAGAUCCGGCUCUGUCUUAGGCCACAGAGAAAAAGAGUGUGGUGCCUCUCAUCCAAUUCCCUUGUGACCAGAUCAGAUGGUGAAAACAAUUUGCCGCCAUGGUUUCCAUGCUCCGGAGGCAG
RNAcentral lists this long non-coding RNA (882 nucleotides) under Crocodylus porosus (Australian saltwater crocodile). RNAcentral describes it as "lncRNA (ENSCPRG00005017037.1)". Lineage: Eukaryota; Metazoa; Chordata; Crocodylia; Crocodylidae. The record is from RNAcentral.